ACUUACGGCAACACCGGCCUGAGUACGCCUGAUCUCGUCCGAUCUCGGAAGCUAAGCAGGGUCGGGCCUGGUUAGUACUUGGAUGGGAGACCGCCUGGGAAUACCAGGUGCUGUAAUCU
Molecule: ribosomal RNA, 119 nt
Organism: Oncorhynchus mykiss (rainbow trout)
Lineage: Eukaryota; Metazoa; Chordata; Actinopteri; Salmoniformes; Salmonidae
Source: Ensembl